AUUGAACGCUGGCGGCAGGCUUAACACAUGCAAGUCGAGCGGAGUGAUGGUGCUUGCACUAUCACUUAGCGGCGGACGGGUGAGUAAUGCUUAGGAAUCUGCCUAUUAGUGGGGGACAACAUCUCGAAAGGGAUGCUAAUACCGCAUACGUCCUACGGGAGAAAGCAGGGGAUCACUUGUGACCUUGCGCUAAUAGAUGAGCCUAAGUCGGAUUAGCUAGUUGGUGGGGUAAAGGCCUACCAAGGCGACGAUCUGUAGCGGGUCUGAGAGGAUGAUCCGCCACACUGGGAUUGAGACACGGCCCAGACUCCUACGGGAGGCAGCAGUGGGGAAUAUUGGACAAUGGGGGGAACCCUGAUCCAGCCAUGCCGCGUGUGUGAAGAAGGCCUUAUGGUUGUAAAGCACUUUAAGCGAGGAGGAGGCUCUUUUGGUUAAUACCCAAGAUGAGUGGACGUUACUCGCAGAAUAAGCACCGGCUAACUUCGUGCCAGCCGCCGCCGUAA
This 503-nucleotide ribosomal RNA is filed under the name uncultured bacterium. RNAcentral's name for it is "partial 16S ribosomal RNA". It matches the Rfam family "Bacterial small subunit ribosomal RNA", at positions 30 to 523 of the family's 1533-position model. The record is from RNAcentral.